RNAcentral lists this long non-coding RNA (973 nucleotides) under Homo sapiens (human). Its description in RNAcentral is "HSALNT0354785". Lineage: Eukaryota; Metazoa; Chordata; Mammalia; Primates; Hominidae. The record is from RNAcentral.
GCACGUCUCCCAGGGCGCGGGCCCCGGAGGACUCUGGCGUUCCGUUGCAGGCCCUUACACAUCUGCACCCCACUGCGCCCCGCUGGAAACCUCCACUCACAGCCGCCCUGAAGAGACCCUAAUCCUCUCAUGGAGACCCCAAGCCCUCCCGAUGAAACCGCCACCAAUCCUCCCAUUGGAGGCCUCCCACCCAGCCUCUCUAACGGAGAGCUAAUCCCCCGCCCAGGCCUCCAUGAAAACACGUUUUCCCUUUAACAUCCCGCACCUUCCAAGCUUGAAGGAGACCCCACAUACCUACAGGAAAGCCACCUGGGGGCUUCGUGGACCCACGUGGUGGCUCAGCUCUGCCCUCCCGCUGAGGACCUCUGCCUCCCUUUAUCAGCCGUUUUGGGAACUCCAACAUCGAAGCCUCCUGUUAACACAACAGUCCCUGAUAGAGAUUAACUCAAUGCAAAUGAAAGGAUUUGAGAGCCGAGAUCACCAGCCUGCUACCUACCCCUGCUCCCCCUUGGGAUUCACUUCCAUGAACACCUCAAUUUCAUCCCCUCUAGGGCCAGAGGGAUCAUAAAGGAAGCAAUAAUCACAGCUACCAUUAGCCACCCUUUAAUGAGCGGGUGAGUGCCCUUUCUGCAUCAGACACAGUAUUUCCGUACAUCAUUAGUGCCAAUCCUCACAAUAAUCCUGUGUUCAUCUCCCUAAUUUACAAAGAGGAAACUGAGCCACAUUCCCAAGGUCACAUAACUAGCAACGAGUGAAGAAGCCAAGAUUAGUGUCCAGACUGAAUCAUUCCAGACACCUGUGACAUAGUCAUGCUUUAAGGUGGCACCUUUGGCCACAAGUCCAAAGACAUUUUUAAUAUUAGGCUUUUUUUCCUUUUUUUUUUUUUUUUUCCAAUUUUCUGUCCCGAAAUGCCAUUCAUCACUUCUGCCAUUUUAGUUCUUAUAAAUGCAUGGAGUGCCUCCCCACCCUACCC